CGCGGGUGCACCGCCGACC
Molecule: small nuclear RNA, 19 nt
Filed under: Arabidopsis thaliana (thale cress)
Lineage: Eukaryota; Viridiplantae; Streptophyta; Magnoliopsida; Brassicales; Brassicaceae
Description: snRNA_13204
Source: RNAcentral